UUUAUUUAAUAUUUGAAUAAGGGUGGCAAGUCAGGAAAUCCACCUGAUGUGGCAAAAAUGUUUUAUGAAACUCGAAAGAAAGCUAAUGAAACACUAGAAAAUGGGGAUCAAGAUAAAUAUGAUGAAAUUGUUCAAGUCAAACAAGCAAACCCUUCACUUUCUGACAUUGAGAUAGUUGAGAAAAUGUGGGGGAAGCAAUCUCAUGGUCACAUUACUGUAUUUGGUGGCGGGACUACUUUGAAAGAUUUGAGAGGACCGCUCCCUAGUCGAUCUGAUCUGGAAGCACGGGUUAUAGAAGAAAAGAGAAAGAACCAGAUGCUUCAACAACGCUUAGAUGAGAAGGAGCAACAACAAUAAAGGAUGUCUGAGUUGGAGUCAUAAGUGAAAGCUAUGCAAGAACUUUUUUUUAUGCAAUCACCUUCAUUGACUCUUCAAACUCGAGAACAUGUGCAGGACUAGGCUAUCCAUGCAAGAUUAGGAGGGGGUAGCUCGAGUCUUCUUUUGACGAUGAUUAGAGGUGUCAGAGAUGUGUCUUCCCCAAACUUUUAUUUUAAUUUGUUUUAGAUAGUUUCAUGUAUUUUUCUUUGGAACAAUUAG
Molecule: long non-coding RNA, 597 nt
Organism: Asparagus officinalis (garden asparagus)
Lineage: Eukaryota; Viridiplantae; Streptophyta; Magnoliopsida; Asparagales; Asparagaceae
Exons: 3
Source: RefSeq, a predicted model, not a curated record